UAAGUGAGUACGAUCUUCCACCUUCUUCAUUUUUCUUCUUUGGUUGACUUGGUUCACCACCAUUUCAAUGUGUGUGUAAACCACAGCCUCUUUCACAUUCACAUUCUUCGCAACACCUAACACAUUCGAGAUCUCUUGAGUUUCACCCUCAACGGGAUAAACAUGACCCCUUUGGUUCCCAGUGAUUUGCUGAUUCUUCCACUGAAUUUGGUUUUCCAUCUCAACUUUUUCUUUCUUCAUAUCAUGCAUGUGGCUUUUCAAUUCUCCAUGUCUCGUUUUGGUUUUCAUAUGAAUGCUAGAGGUAAAAUUUUGGAUUUGAUCUCCACGUUGUCUCUCAUCAUUCUUGUUAUUGUAAUUUGAUUUCCGCUUCGAUUUACUAACUUUUUUGUUUAUUUCUUGGCUAUUGAUGUUGAUUUUUCGAGCUCUACCUUACUUGGUGGAGUUAAGGUUGUCACCAUCCCUUUUCCUAUUAUGCACGUGGUUAUCGUGACCCUUCUAGAUUUGGACCUUCAUGUUGUUACAAGGUUCUAUCCUUGUCAAUGUUAUCUUAUUUUUUCUGAAUUCCAGAGGACUCGCCUUUGUACAUAAGUUUUCUACCCCAAUUGCUAUUUUUUUAUGCAGUCUCAAGUUAUUGUAGCCUUUUUAGCGUAAGUAUCCUCUUUGGUGUCACUUUCCAUAUUGCAUUUCUCUUUACCUUUGUUUCUCGUUUGAUUCUUCUCAUAAUUUAUUUUGAUGUUGUGCAUGUAGGCAUGAGCUUCACAUCUUCCAUCAACAUCAUAUUUGUCUCUAUUGUCUUUGAUGUAAAUUCAUGUACCAUUCCUCCUGUUCUUCUUCUUUUGAAUCUAAUUUUCUUUUACUACUUGAUUAGAAGUAUGGUGCUUGUUGCUAUAAAGGUGCCUCUGUUGGUGCAGUCUCCCCUUGUUGAACUCUCUGUUUCUGCUCUGAUUGUUCAGUAUCUAGUUAUUCUUUUGAUUGGUGUUUCUAAUUUGAGUAUCUUAAGGUUGUGUCUGAUUCUGGCGCUUCUCCUUCUUGUCUUUAUUGGUAAUGUUUUGAUUUGACUGACACUCUGCUUUUUCACCAUUGUUGUGUUUGUUACCGAUGAUGAUUAUUGACAUUCUAUAGGAUUUUAUCCUUAUCAAUGUUAGUUUCUUCUUUCUGGUCCCCAGAGGACUAUCCAAUAUAUCUAGUUCUUCAGUUCCAAUUACUAUUGUUAA
Molecule: long non-coding RNA, 1214 nt
Organism: Lathyrus oleraceus (garden pea)
Lineage: Eukaryota; Viridiplantae; Streptophyta; Magnoliopsida; Fabales; Fabaceae
Exons: 3
Source: RefSeq, a predicted model, not a curated record